AGAUCAAAUAAGAUGCAAGAGCAAUUAGCAAACCCUUUAUGAGUUCUUGUUCUUCCCCAAUUCUUUCUUGGCACAGUAUUCCAUCCUCAAUUUAAUGUCUAACUUGAUAUUAAUUUGUAAAUUUGAGGAUAUGGGUUUUCAACUGGAUCGAAGAACAAUUCUCAAUUUCUCAUCUUAAAGUUGAAUCACUGAUUCACAACUUCAAAAAUCAGGAAUUAGAGCAUAAACACCAUCUGUUAGAGGUUAUUACGGGAUGGAGGGAUCUGCAGAUAAGCUGUAAUUUAGGAUAAUUCACUGGUGAUUUCUGUGCUUUAUUUCGAAAAGAUUUUUACUUUCAUGUGGGGAUUAAUUGCUUUCCAUUUAAAUAAACUCCUAAAAUUAUGGGGCUCUAUUUCAAAAUACAUGUAUGUGAUUAGCUUAGAAUGUUAUUGGAGAGAAAGUGUUGCCCAUCGUAGUUCUAUCAUGUUAAGGGCAUUUUGAUCAUUUUCAAGUGUUAAAAUUAAUUGAAGAAGGCAUCAAAAUUGAGUGUAUUCCCAACAUUGACAAAAGGGCAAUCAGCUUAAUUUCUGAAAUCGAAUUUGGAUUAUUUUACAGAAUUUCAGUAUCUAGUAUUAAGAUGGGCGAAAAAUUGGUAGUCUUUCAUUUGUGUUGUAUCUAAUAAAUAACAAUUUUGUUGCUUCUAAUACUUCAAGUAUUUAUUUGUUUUUGACUUGUUUGAGUAUUCAAAUUGACAUAAAUGGCCAACCUACCAAAUACCAACUAUAGAUGUAGCAGCUUUGCUGCUUUGACUAAUUUUUUAGUGUUUGAUUUUUCUAAUACAUUGUUAUCUAACUCUUGGGGAUUUUUUUUUGAAUUGUUUAUUUUUUAAUUAAUUAUAAUUGAAAAUUAAAU
RNAcentral lists this long non-coding RNA (891 nucleotides) under Olea europaea (common olive). Its description in RNAcentral is "long non-coding RNA (OEUR_LNC005289)". The record is from RNAcentral. Lineage: Eukaryota; Viridiplantae; Streptophyta; Magnoliopsida; Lamiales; Oleaceae.